This 504-nucleotide ribosomal RNA is filed under the name uncultured bacterium. RNAcentral describes it as "bacterial SSU rRNA". It matches the Rfam family "Bacterial small subunit ribosomal RNA", at positions 24 to 518 of the family's 1533-position model. The record is from RNAcentral.
UCAGGAUGAACGCUAGCUACAGGCUUAACACAUGCAAGUCGAGGGGCAGCAUCAGGUUAGCUUGCUAAUCUGGAUGGCGACCGGCGCACGGGUGAGUAACGCGUAUCCAACCUUCCCCCUGCUCAGGGAUAGCCCGGUGAAAACCGGAUUAAGACCUGAUAGUUUCACUAGAUGGCAUCUGACGGUGAAUAAAGGUUUCGGCAAGGGAUGGGGAUGCGUCUGAUUAGCUUGUUGGCGGGGUAACGGCCCACCAAGGCGACGAUCAGUAGGGGUUCUGAGAGGAAGGUCCCCCACAUUGGAACUGAGACACGGUCCAAACUCCUACGGGAGGCAGCAGUGAGGAAUAUUGGUCAAUGGGCGGAAGCCUGAACCAGCCAAGUAGCCGUGCAGGAAGACGGCCCUAUGGGUUGUAAACCGCUUUAGCCGGGGAGUAACGUGCGGGACGCGUCCCGCAGUGAGAGUACCCGGAGAAUAAGCAUCGGCUAACUCCGUGCCAGCCGCCGC